RNAcentral lists this ribosomal RNA (253 nucleotides) under uncultured Allobaculum sp. Its description in RNAcentral is "partial 16S ribosomal RNA". It matches the Rfam family "Bacterial small subunit ribosomal RNA", at positions 524 to 776 of the family's 1533-position model. The record is from RNAcentral. Lineage: Bacteria; Bacillati; Bacillota; Erysipelotrichia; Erysipelotrichales; Erysipelotrichaceae.
UACGUAGGUGGCGAGCGUUAUCCGGAAUGAUUGGGCGUAAAGGGUGCGCAGGCGGUCCUGCAAGUCUGGAGUGAAACGUAUGAGCUCAACUCAUGCAUGGCUCUGGAAACUGGAGGACUGGAGAGCAGGAGAGGGCGGUGGAACUCCAUGUGUAGCGGUAAAAUGCGUAAAUAUAUGUAAGAACACCGGUGGCGAAGGCGGCUUGCUGGGCCUGUACUGACAUUGAGGCACGAAAGCGUGGGGAGCAAACAGG